GAUGAACGCUGGCGGCGUGCUUAACACAUGCAAGUCGAACGGUAAGGCCCUUCGGGGUACACGAGUGGCGAACGGGUGAGUAACACGUGGGUGAUCUGCCCUGCACUUCGGGAUAAGCCUGGGAAACUGGGUCUAAUACCGGAUAGGACCACUGCCUGCAUGGGUGGCGGUGGAAAUCUUCUGCGGUGUGGGAUGGGCCCGCGGCCUAUCAGCUUGUUGGUGGGGUGAUGGCCUACCAAGGCGACGACGGGUAGCCGGCCUGAGAGGGUGACCGGCCACACUGGGACUGAGAUACGGCCCAGACUCCUACGGGAGGCAGCAGUGGGGAAUAUUGCACAAUGGGCGCAAGCCUGAUGCAGCGACGCCGCGUGAGGGAUGACGGCCUUCGGGUUGUAAACCUCUUUCAGCACCGACGAAGCGCAAGUGACGGUAGGUGCAGAAGAAGGACCGGCCAACUACGUGCCAGCAGCCGCCGUAA
This 478-nucleotide ribosomal RNA is filed under the name uncultured bacterium. RNAcentral's name for it is "partial 16S ribosomal RNA". It matches the Rfam family "Bacterial small subunit ribosomal RNA", at positions 28 to 523 of the family's 1533-position model. The record is from RNAcentral.